RNAcentral lists this ribosomal RNA (200 nucleotides) under uncultured bacterium. RNAcentral describes it as "partial 16S ribosomal RNA". It matches the Rfam family "Bacterial small subunit ribosomal RNA", at positions 8 to 198 of the family's 1533-position model. The record is from RNAcentral.
AGAGUUUGAUCCUGGCUCAGGACGAACGCUGGCGGCGUGCCUAAUACAUGCAAGUCGAGCGGAUCUUGUUCAGGAGCUUGCUCCUGAACUUGGUUAGCGGCGGACGGGUGAGUAACACGUAGGCAACCUGCCCUCAAGACCGGGAUAACAUUCGGAAACGAAUGCUAAGACCGGAUACGCGGGGCGCUCGCAUGAGCGCU